RNAcentral lists this ribosomal RNA (95 nucleotides) under Stutzerimonas stutzeri. Lineage: Bacteria; Pseudomonadati; Pseudomonadota; Gammaproteobacteria; Pseudomonadales; Pseudomonadaceae. The record is from RNAcentral.
CUUGACGACCAUAGAGCGUUGGAACCACCUGAUCCCAUCCCGAACUCAGAAGUGAAACGACGCAUCGCCGAUGGUAGUGUGGGGUCUCCCCAUGU